GAGGGUAUAGCUCAGAGGUAGAGUGCAUGCUUAACAUGCACAAGGUCUUGGGUUCAAUCCCCAGUACCUCUG
This 72-nucleotide transfer RNA is filed under the name Camelus bactrianus (Bactrian camel). It matches the Rfam family "tRNA". Rfam says of the family: Transfer RNA (tRNA) molecules are approximately 80 nucleotides in length. The record is from Rfam by way of RNAcentral. Lineage: Eukaryota; Metazoa; Chordata; Mammalia; Artiodactyla; Camelidae. RNAcentral also lists the same sequence under 2 other names.